AUGGUAGGUCGUGCAGGAUUCGAACCUGCGACCAAUUGAUUAAAAGUCAACUGCUCUACCAACUGAGCUAACGACCC
This 77-nucleotide transfer RNA is filed under the name Candidatus Photodesmus anomalopis. Its description in RNAcentral is "Candidatus Photodesmus katoptron tRNA-Lys". The record is from RNAcentral. Lineage: Bacteria; Pseudomonadati; Pseudomonadota; Gammaproteobacteria; Vibrionales; Vibrionaceae.